Molecule: non-coding RNA, 109 nt
Filed under: Thalassiosira gravida
Lineage: Eukaryota; Bacillariophyta; Thalassiosirophyceae; Thalassiosirales; Thalassiosiraceae
Source: RNAcentral
GAUACGGUGGACGAAGUGAUGCGCACCAAAAUGGGGUUGGAUUGCGGAGGCGAUGAUUCGUCAGAUUCGGCGAAGGAGGCGGAGGAGCUCUGGGAGGAAAUGGAGCAGC